Limulus polyphemus (Atlantic horseshoe crab) is the source of this 7733-nucleotide RNA transcript. RefSeq lists it as uncharacterized. The record is from RefSeq and is a predicted model, not a curated record. The transcript has 8 exons. NCBI's taxonomy places the organism in Eukaryota, Metazoa, Arthropoda, Merostomata, Xiphosura, Limulidae.
AGCAGAGUAACUAGUGGCUUAAGAGUAAUUAGGCAUUACUUGGAUGUGGGAAGGAAAGAAGAAGAGAUGAGGAAAGGGCGCUAGUUGUCAGCGUCCACUGUACGUUUUCAGCCGAUCUGUGACAGAAUGGGGCAUUCUCGCGAUACAACAGAAGCUUUUGUGUUUGUGUGUAUUUGCAAUUGUCGUCGUGAUAGCAGGCUUCCUCGGUUAUUCCUUACGUCUCGGCGCAAGCUUCGCUGUUGGUAAAAUAGACGAAACAUGCAAGCGCUUGAAGCAGUACGUAGGAAAAUCGCGAUUUUUCAGGACUCGGGCUUGAAAGUGAGACAUUUUUUUUUUAAUAUGUGGUGUCAUUUGUGUCUUUAUUAACGUUUCAUCACAUGAAGCGCGAGAAAAUAUCGAUGGUUUUGAUGAGUUAAAACUAUCUUUUAUCACCAAAAUCAGGUGUUUUUGUUGAACUUGAAGAUAGAAGAUUAGAUAUUUCCUAAAACCCACAAGUAUCAAAUAUCAUCAGUACCACACACAUAGUCUCAAAUAAACUAAAGUAAGCCUCUUACUUACGAAAAAAAAUUGCUCGUUUCGUUACUAUCGUGACCGUUGUUUGUUAGAAAAUAGCGUAUUUUUGCGUUUCCCCCGGCAUAAUCGUUCGACAGAAGAUUCGUGAUACCAACGUGGGACUUGUCAGAAUCCCGAAUGCCUUCGUUAAUACUCAAAGGUUUCCGCCAUGUUGUUUUUCUUCUUUGAUCAUUUGACGUCAUGGAGACUUGCAGACAGCUAAGUAGACCUUCGAUUCCUGCAGUUCCUUCAUCUGUACCUCCUCCACCACCACCACCGUCUCACGUGGGGGCCAUUACCCAUCUACCUUUCUGUCCUCAGGGGCCGUAUGUUGCACGAUCUGCUCGACGAGCUGCAGAUUCGGUUUCUUGGUGGAAGACAUGGUUAAGGAAAUAUGUGUUGUUGUGUUUGAUAUCUGGUGGACUUUUGAUGCUGUUAGGGAUUAUCUUCAUUGGAAUCUAUCUCACCCUUCGGACCUACACCUCAUCUUUACAGUUCUUUGAAACGGUUCCAACUUAUGUUCCUGCAGUGGUGCUUAUAAUUACAGGAUUGAUGGUGAUGUGUUUUGCCAAGAGAAGAAAUCGAUAUGCUUAUUUGAUCAAACUGGCAGGAGGGUGUUGCUUGAUUUGUGCUCUCUUGUGUGUGGUCAUCACAGUGACCACAACAGUUGUCCACAUGAACAGACUGCAGACCCUUCAUAAAUGUGUUUACACUCCAAUGGCUAAAACUUGUACCUGUGUGUCAGCAAUACCAGAUCCUGGCACAUCAUCAGAAACUCCUCGAUUUGUGUUCAACAAUACCCCCAAUUGUGAUGUCGUCCAUGGCAGCCUGUCAACAAGCCUACGAGUUUUGUUUGGCCUCUCUGUUAUUGGUAUUUUAAUCUGUAUUUUCUCCUCCAUGUUAGUCUACCAGCUUCUGAGUCAUGAGAAGAAAAAAAUUUACUGGGAACAGUUGGAGUUAAGAAGAAGGUUCAUCUAUGCCCGCCAUGCAAAUCAUCCACUUUGCAGCUGUUACGAGGACCUGUAUCCAUGGCCUCUGUGGGAAAUGUUGGAUUACCGUUUUCUUAGUGCUCAACAUUUGAACUCAACUCCUCUCACCCAAGAAGAAUCUCCUCCUCAAGUAACACAAGUACUGGCAAACAGUGCACAAAGUGGUGGUCAGCGACAAACUAACUGGAGAUGGCUUCCCUGGCCUUUGCGUAGUGCUACUAACAGAAUUAUCAACACCCGUGGCUCUACUAGCAAUGUGAGAAGUAGUUUUAUCAGAAGACUAAUUUCUAGAGAAAUAUGGAGGGAGGAAACAACUUCUCCUUCGACAUCCACCCCACAAGAGUCUCCCCUACGACCAGAUUCUCCCCAGGCAUCUCCAUGGAGAAAUAAUACUGGUCACAUGUUUCGUCCUCAUGUACGUGCUACAGCAGCUCAAGAGCGCUUUGGUGCCUAUUCCAGACCUACAGGUUCAACUAGACCAUUAGUCACACAUAGAAGAACUCGCUCUAAUGAUGGUAUUUUUCACCAUUUACAGAUCAACUCUUCAGCUCGAUAUAGCCCUUCCUUCGCACCAACUGAAAAUUUCGAGAUCCCUCGACACAUGUGGGGCCCACCACCUCCUUAUUCUCAUCCACCUUCUAAUGAAAACUUUUCAGGUUUACAGUUUGGUUCAGGGAACAUGAGACAAAAUGGUUUCUCACAUGAACAAGAAACCAACUUGGGUAUACCUCCAAAUACUACAGUUGUGACUGUGGAAUCUCAAGUACAUGAACCCGAAACAAAUGGUGCUGCAUCCAGUUGCUCCAAAAUAAGCACACCUUUGUCAGAAAGGAAGUUAAUGUGUCACUUCUCUUCAUCUGAUGGAAUUACUCUGACCAUAAGUAACAAUUUAUUGAAUAUCUGCAACAAUGAUGAUGCUGAACUGGAUGAAGAUAAACAAGAUAAUUCCUGCAUUGUUGAAGUGCAUGUACCUUACAUUGUUCAAAAAGAUGACAUAAUAUUUAAUACCCUACCAACCAGAAGUUCAAAGAAAAAAGACCCAAAUCUAUUCAAAUCUUUAUCUAAUAUUCCCUUGUGUUUAUCAAAGAAACUUAAUGAAAUGAAUCAAGAGAAACAUCACUCUAAUAACCUUUCCAUGAUUGAGUCAUGCUGUGAGAUUAAGAAUGUUUUGCAAUGUUCUGUGGAGGACCUCUCCAAGUUUCAGGAGAUAAAAAACGCAAUCUGUGAUAAAUUAACCUAUAAAACAUUUUCUGAAAGAGACAUGUAUGAUGAAGACAGCCAAAAUUUCUCUUCUGCAACAGAUCCUUCUCCAUCUUCCUUAAGUUUCCAAGCAACCUUUAUAGAACACCCUUCAGACUUUAAAUCUAGUAUCAUGAUAGCUACUAGUCCUUCUACUCCUGUUACUGAGAAUGUAACUCUUAAUGAUAAAAUGUAUGCCCAAUCCAUGCCAAACCUAAGCCUAUCCAACUCUCCAACAGCUGCAAGUAUACUGUUUCAAAUACCUUCUAGUGAUAAUACUUCAACCUCUCAAGAUUUUGCAGAUUUUGAUUUAGAUGAAGACAGCAGCCCUCUGAAUUUUGAUAGCCUUUCUUCUGAUGCAACUUCUGCACCAUCCCUUCCAGAAGAUGAGCAACACUUUUAUGGAAGUAACCAGUUGUUGUUCAACCAUCAAGACAUUCCUAAAGAUGAGCACCAUCUUCACUGUGAUGAAUCUCGGCUACCUGGAGAAAUUGGGUGCAAAUUUUCAGGUUCAUCAACAGCUGUAGCAUCUGGUCACACACUUCCAAUAGAUAAGAGUCAAACGUCCAUGAGGGAUACUUCUGAACAACAAGAUUAUCUUUCAUGCCCCGAGUCUGAAGCUAUAUGUGAAGACAGAGGCUACUCAGACCGUGGCUCAAUUGAACCAAAGUACUUAUCUACAGAUAUUAGAUCUCCUUCUCAAAGUGUUCCUGGUCCCAGUGAAAAUACUCCAACCUUGUUUAGAGAGAGUUUUAUUGUAACAAUCAAAAGUGUGAAUGUGUAAUUAAAAAAACAAACAAAAAAUAAUAGUGAUGAUCCAUUUUACUCUUUUUUUGUUGAAUAGUUAAAAAAAUUAAAGGUUCUUGUGAGAACAACUUUUUAUGAUCCAAGUUUCUGAGGAAUAAAUAAAUAUGCCAAGAACAUACACAAAAAAAUCACACAUGGAGUUGCUCCCCCAAAUUAAAGAAAAACAUAUACAUAAAUAGAUGCCUCUCAGAACUAAAGCAUCCAUCUGAUGAGAUGUGAAUAGCUGUAUAAUGAGCUUGAUAAUUAAAAUCAAACUCUGAAAUUGUGCAGAAGUGCUUUUGAUAUUUUGGAUACUAGUUAACUUAUAUGUACAUAUAUAUUUUUUCUGAUUAAAUAAUGUAGUGAAUAAUUAACAGACAGAGUCCAAUUCUAAGCACUUAAUGAAGUAAAGCAGGUUGAUUAAGUUUUAUUUUCAGUUUUUAUAGUUUAAAUAAAUUACCAUUGCUACAUUUUUUCAGUUGCUCAUGCUGCUAAGGAACAAGUUAAAUGUACAUUCAAAUACGUAUAUAAUGUAAAUCCUUAUUAAUUCAACUUUUCAACAAAAAUUUUAACCUCCAUUAACCAGUGAUACAACCGAUUAGUUAAAAUUCAGGUAAAGAUAAUGAUUAACUGGACAUUUGAGCAAAAUUCUCAUACUUUUUCUGUAACUCUAGGAACUCGCCAGUUUAUCAUGAAUCAAGAUUUUCCAGUGAACAAUGUCUGUUUUUAGUAUGUGCCAACAACUGACAAUGAUAUUCCGACACAAAAUUUUAACAUCUUGAUUACAGAGAACAUGUUUGUUAACAAAAGCGUUAAACUUAUGUUGCCUGAUAAUUAGACCAAAUAUUAGAAGUUAAUUAAUAAGGAAUUUAAUCACAUAAGGAAACUUGAAAUUAUAAAUCAAGAAAAUUUAUUCUUUGUAUAAUAAUUUUACGAUAUUAAAAGGAAAUAAUUUGUAUUACUGUACAGUACUUAAGUGAUUAAAGAUUAAUAUUGUAGUACUUUUAUUCACUUGUCUUUCUAAAUGAAGAAAAUUAUAAAUCAUUCGCUUUUAUACAGUAUAAUAAUUUAUUUAUUUUCCUUGCCCACUAAAUAUCUACCACUGUUAUUACAGUGAUCGAAUUGUUCAUUUUAAGUAACUAUAAAAUGGUUACAAAUGUAUAAAAAAAAGCAAAGAAUUGCAGGAUGUAAGAAAUCUGGUUAAGUCCAUUUCUAUAGUGUAUAUGAACCAAUCCUUAAACACCUUGUAAUGAAUAAAGAAAUUUUCAAAAUUAAAAACUGUACAUAAAAUAUUAAUAAAUGAAAAUGCAUAUUUUAUCUCACCUUCUAAUAUCUAACUGAUAGUUUUUUUUUAAUUACAAUGUUUGGAAUAGUUUUAUCCAAAAGGUGUUUUGAAUGUAUAUUUAUCUACUUACAACAAUAUACAAUGAAGGAACCUUCUUGUAUUAAACCAGUAUCUUCUUUUGAAUAAUCUUUUGUGUGAUGUAUUCUCAGAUCAAAAUAAACUGAUACAUAUUACACGAGAUGUUUUUCAUCACAUGCACAUAUAUAUUUAAAUUUUCUAACGGAACAAAACAUAAACCUUAAAUCAAGAAAGCUGAGCUUUAUGAAGAUGCCUCUUCUAGUCAAAUAUAAAAUUAAUUAAUCUAUACAAGUUUUAUGGCAGUAUUAAAUAAAGGUUUUUAAAAUUUGUAAUGGAAAGUGCUUAUGCAACAUGUGAAUGACAAGGAAGAAGUAAAUUUGAACAACUAAACUAGUUCUUUCAUAUUUCAGUAAGCAGACUUACACUAAUGUAUUACUAUAACCUAAUGAAAAGUACUUUGAUUUUAACUCUCUAGUCAGUUUGUUCAAGCUUCUAUUGAUUUAACACAUAUUUAAAGAAGUAAAAAUGUAUGAAAAUCUAAGCUCCUUUUUGGUGACAAAAUCCUGAUAUUUAAAUCAAACAGUUAACUAAUUGAGUAUUACAUCUUCUGCUGCUCAGAUAAACUAAGCCUACUCAAUGACAAAUGUCACAAUUAUCAAUAUUACAAUUCAAUCAUGCUUUAUGUACCAGUUUCCAGUACCAUAAAGUAUGCAACUUUUGAGAUUUUUAUCAAUCUCUAGUGCACGAAAGGACAUAGAAUGGGGCCCAUGGGAAAAAAAUAAAUAAAUAAUGAAAGUGGUCCUUGGUGGUGAAAAGGUUGGGAAUCACUGCUCUAGUGGCUAAAAGUGUUUAUUUCCCAAGAGCCACAGUAAAUGUAGGUCUUUCUGAACACCAUUUUGAUUGCAGUGAUACUUUUAUCAUUCUUUCACCUUUGACUGAGGUAUUUCAGUUUGAAAAGCACAAAAUUCUUAUAACCGCCAUGUGGCCUUAUGUAGUUUCAAUGUCAAUAACCAGAAGCCAGGUAUAACAAGCUGAACUACUGUGCAUAAUCCAUUCUCUCUAGAAAUUGUUCAAAGAAAGGAAGCGUAUUUAGGUUAUUGUAUUGACCAUUUCAAAGUUCCUUCAGAAUCUCUAAAGCUCCUUUUGUACAAUAAUGUGGUACUUCCAGAUAAACUGUUUUCCUCAACAGAUUCAUUAAAACCCACAACUGAGAGAUCUGAUAGAAAAUGUAUUACAGAGUUAAAAUGAGUCAUCUUGGUUUGACUAAAGUUUAGAGGAGAGAAAGAGACUGGACACUAUGUUAAAAAUAGUGAAAACAAUCUUUAUUCAGUAAAAACGAAGCACGCAGGUGGAAGACAGCACCUUUACAGGAGAUUGAAAACUUUCAUAAGUCUAUGUUCUCUAAGUUUGUUGGAAGCUGGUGAAAAUCUGUUCCAGAUUGAAAAAACAGUAUUAUACAAAUAGUUCUACAAUGUUAUCCAUGGUGCAUGGAUUACUUACUUGCAGUUCGUCAUUUCAAUCAAAAAUAUGGGUGGAUGUCUCCUGAUCCAGUAGAAAACAUCUCGGACACUGCCAGCUUUCACUUAGCAUGUUCUACCUUACAGCAAUCUUUCUAACAAUGAUGCACAUGACACUCACAGGAGAGUGACCCAGAACAAAAGAUUAUUAAAUUAAAAAGAACUACAUUCCACAGCAUGCGUGAAUCUUUUUGAAACUUUUAGGUGAACUUCAGUAAGAGUUCACCUUACUAGAAACUGGAGGUAAACAAAAAACCUAGUAUACUUGCAUACUACAAUAACAUGGAUGACCAGCUAUUCGCAGAAAACUAGACAGUUUCAUUCUAGUGCAUGUAGAUUUCAGGUUACCUGAAGCAGUUAGUAAACAAGUUUAAUGUCCCCAUGUUAAUAUUUGGGGUAAGUGAUCUUCUCAAUUGACUAUAUGGACCCACAAAACAUUUCAUCCUUCAUAGUUAAGUUUGUGUUUCUGAACAUGGUUUUAGAUCGUCUCACUUUCAUCAUCUGCCCUAGGUGUUUGCUGAGGUCUUAGGCUACUAAUCCAAACCAUUUUUUCCUCAUGUUUUUGCUGAAAUCUGUUCAUUCUCAGAAGCACAUCUUUUUCUUAGAUCUUUUUUGUCUUGAAAGAUCAGAAUAGAAAACCAUGAUUGAUAUCUUACUGAAACACCGAAAAUUCCUGCACCUAUGGGCCUGAGCCCCAAAUCGUUUAAGCACCUAGCAAUGCCUCUGGUGGUAAAAUCUCAAUUAUUCUGCUAAAAAAUUGUAACUGCUAUUUUCUUCUAUUGUGGGUAACCACCUCCUACCCUAUGUUUGUGAUACUACCAUAACUAACAAAAUAAAUACAUAUUUCAUUUUUUAAACCCAAUUGCCUUAACAGUUACAUUAAUUCUGUUUCAGAGCAACUAGUCACAUAUAGUGAAUGGAAGUUUAUACAUGAAGCAUUGCAGGCAUAAGCUCCCCUGACUUCCCUAAAUUUAAAUUGCUUCCCAAAUGCAAGGCUUGUAAGUAGUAGUUACAUGUCACAGAAAGUGAAUCCCUUUUACUCUGUAGUCCUAUGUCUCAGUAAGGUGCAUUUUAUCAUUCCAGCAUUGCAGUUUUUACUAAACUACAUAUAUGUAGAAACUGAUACUCUAAAUCUCUGUUUCAGACUGAUUACAAGCCUUCAUCAGAAGUAUAAACUGUAUAUUAUGCUUCUAACAAAUGACCACAAUCAUUCCAAAAGCUAAGGUUUAAAAUAAAUAGAUCCGUAUUUCUGAAUGUACUAAUUUGAACACCAGUAUUUGCCACAAA